Molecule: ribosomal RNA, 279 nt
Filed under: uncultured bacterium
Lineage: Bacteria
Description: partial 16S ribosomal RNA
Rfam family: Bacterial small subunit ribosomal RNA
Source: RNAcentral
UGCCAGCCGCCGCGGUAAUACGGAGGGGGCUAGCGUUGUUCGGAAUUACUGGGCGUAAAGCGGGUGUAGGCGGACCGGCCAGUCAGAGGUGAAAGCCCAGGGCUCAACCCUGGAAUUGCCUUUGAUACUACCGGUCUUGAGUCUGGGAGAGGUGAGCGGAAUUCCGAGUGUAGAGGUGAAAUUCGUAGAUAUUCGGAAGAACACCAGUGGCGAAGGCGACUCACUGGCACAUUUCUGACGCUGAGGCGCGAAAGCGUGGGGAGCAAACAGGAUUAGAUA